RNAcentral lists this ribosomal RNA (714 nucleotides) under Streptomyces sp. Its description in RNAcentral is "bacterial SSU rRNA". It matches the Rfam family "Bacterial small subunit ribosomal RNA", at positions 94 to 819 of the family's 1533-position model. The record is from RNAcentral. Lineage: Bacteria; Bacillati; Actinomycetota; Actinomycetes; Kitasatosporales; Streptomycetaceae.
AGUGGCGACGGGUGAGUAACACGUGGGCAAUCUGCCCUGCACUCUGGGAAAGCCCUGGAAACGGGGUCUAAUACCGGAUAACACCCCCUCUCGCAUGGGAGGGGGUUGAAAGCUCCGGCGGUGCAGGAUGAGCCCGCGGCCUAUCAGCUUGUUGGUGAGGUAGAAGCUCACCAAGGCGACGACGGGUAGCCGGCCUGAGAGGGCGACCGGCCACACUGGGACUGAGACACGGCCCAGACUCCUACGGGAGGCAGCAGUGGGGAAUAUUGCACAAUGGGCGAAAGCCUGAUGCAGCGACGCCGCGUGAGGGAUGACGGCCUUCGGGUUGUAAACCUCUUUCAGCAGGGAAGAAGCGAAAGUGACGGUACCUGCAGAAGAAGCGCCGGCUAACUACGUGCCAGCAGCCGCGGUAAUACGUAGGGCGCAAGCGUUGUCCGGAAUUAUUGGGCGUAAAGAGCUCGUAGGCGGCUUGUCACGUCGGUUGUGAAAGCCCGGGGCUUAACCCCGGGUCUGCAGUCGAUACGGGCAGGCUAGAGUGUGGUAGGGGAGAUCGGAAUUCCUGGUGUAGCGGUGAAAUGCGCAGAUAUCAGGAGGAAACACCGGUGGCGAAGGCGGAUCUCUGGGCCAUUACUGACGCUGAAGGAGCGAAAGCGUGGGGAGCGAAACAGGAUUUAGAUACCCUGGGUAGUCCACGCCGUAAACGGUGGGAAACUA